GACGAACGCUGGCGGCGUGCCUAACACAUGCAAGUCGAACGGAGUUAAGAGAGCUUGCUCUCUUAACUUAGUGGCGGACGGGUGAGUAACGCGUGAGUAACCUGCCUUUCAGAGGGGGAUAACGUUCUGAAAAGAACGCUAAUACCGCAUGACGUCAUAGGACCGCAUGGUCUAGUGAUCAAAGGAGCAAUCCGCUGAAAGAUGGACUCGCGUCCGAUUAGCUAGUUGGUGAGAUAAAGGCCCACCAAGGCGACGAUCGGUAGCCGGACUGAGAGGUUGAACGGCCACAUUGGGACUGAGACACGGCCCAG
This 311-nucleotide ribosomal RNA is filed under the name uncultured bacterium. RNAcentral's name for it is "bacterial SSU rRNA". It matches the Rfam family "Bacterial small subunit ribosomal RNA", at positions 28 to 334 of the family's 1533-position model. The record is from RNAcentral.